Molecule: ribosomal RNA, 305 nt
Filed under: uncultured bacterium
Lineage: Bacteria
Description: bacterial SSU rRNA
Rfam family: Bacterial small subunit ribosomal RNA
Source: RNAcentral
CAAACCUACGGGGGGCAGCAGUGAGGAAUAUUGGUCAAUGGGCGCGAGCCUGAACCAGCCAAGUCGCGUGAGGGAAGACGGUCCUAUGGAUUGUAAACCUCUUUUGUCGGGGAGCAAAAGACGCCACGCGUGGCGUUCCGAGAGUACCCGAAGAAAAAGCAUCGGCUAACUCCGUGCCAGCAGCCGCGGUAAUACGGAGGAUGCGAGCGUUAUCCGGAUUUAUUGGGUUUAAAGGGUGCGCAGGCGGAAGAUCAAGUCAGCGGUAAAAUUGAGGGGCUCAACCCCUUCCCGCCAUUGAAACUGGC